GACGAACGCUGGCGGCGUGCUUAACACAUGCAAGUCGAACGGAAAGGCCCUGCUUUUGUGGGGUGCUCGAGUGGCGAACGGGUGAGUAACACGUGAGUAACCUGCCCUUGACUUUGGGAUAACUUCAGGAAACUGGGGCUAAUACCGGAUAGGAGCUCCUGCUGCAUGGUGGGGGUUGGAAAGUUUCGGCGGUUGGGGAUGGACUCGCGGCUUAUCAGCUUGUUGGUGGGGUAGUGGCUUACCAAGGCUUUGACGGGUAGCCGGCCUGAGAGGGUGACCGGCCACAUUGGGACUGAGAUACGGCCCAGACUCCAACGGGAGGCAGCAGUGGGGAAUAUUGCACAAUGGGCGGAAGCCUGAUGCAGCAACGCCGAGUGCGGGAUGACGGCCUUCGGGUUGUAAACCGCUUUCGCCUGUGACGAAGCGUGAGUGACGGUAAUGGGUAAAGAAGCACCGGCUAACUACGUG
Molecule: ribosomal RNA, 468 nt
Filed under: uncultured bacterium
Lineage: Bacteria
Description: partial 16S ribosomal RNA
Rfam family: Bacterial small subunit ribosomal RNA
Source: RNAcentral